UCUCACUGGUCCAGCUGGUAGCAGAGGUGAUGUAGACAACACUGAACUAGAGACAGUUCAAAGCCUCCAGCCACUUGGAGCCAUACACACUCUAUCAGCUGACAGCUCAGAGUAUCCUCUCCUGUGAAGCAAUCAAAUAGGAGCUGGGCCCCUGACCCAGGGUCUGCUCCCCAAGGGCAUCCCCUGAUUUAAACUCCUUCUCCUCCUUGGUCUCAUCCAGCACUCCCCAGGGGGAGCAAGGGGCAGGAGUCUUCACAGCGUCAUCCCCAGAUGCUAUCAUACCGUGGAGUCCUGGGAAGUAUAAAUUGUGGAAAACCUGGAUCCAGCAGGGUUGACUGUCAUGUGGUGUGGCAUAGCACAGGAAGUUUCAGAAGUCCCCAGGAGACUCGGCCACAGGCCAGAUAUUUACUGAAGACCAUGCACCCUAUGGCCCUUCCAGGUGUCAGAGACGGAACAGAAGGCAAAGACAGCCCCUCAGAGCUGCACGAUG
Long non-coding RNA from Mastomys coucha (southern multimammate mouse), 490 nucleotides. RefSeq lists it as uncharacterized. Lineage: Eukaryota; Metazoa; Chordata; Mammalia; Rodentia; Muridae. The record is from RefSeq and is a predicted model, not a curated record. The transcript has 3 exons.